CCCUGGUGCAAAUUUAUUAUAUGCAGUGGAGGUCCUUGUUUCUGGGCCCACUGAUAAGCAGUCUCUACUUGAUUCUGGAAUCCUGUGCUGUGUCAUUCAUAUUCUCAAUUCUCUUCUUGGUCCCAAUGAGGGUCAUUUGAGGCAAAAUGUUGGCAGUGAUAAGGAACCAGUAAUGGCAGAGAGAAAUCUUCGUGGUGACACUGAAUCAGUGUGUUGGCUUGAGGAGUUUUCUUUGGUAUCUGCAAUCAAGAAAGCAAAAUGCUUGGAGAAGAGGUGAAUUGAAGUUCCUUUAGUGGCAGUCAUCAUAU
Long non-coding RNA from Ipomoea nil (Japanese morning glory), 308 nucleotides. RefSeq lists it as uncharacterized. Lineage: Eukaryota; Viridiplantae; Streptophyta; Magnoliopsida; Solanales; Convolvulaceae. The transcript is spliced from 3 exons. The record is from RefSeq and is a predicted model, not a curated record.